RNAcentral lists this ribosomal RNA (464 nucleotides) under uncultured bacterium. RNAcentral's name for it is "partial 16S ribosomal RNA". It matches the Rfam family "Bacterial small subunit ribosomal RNA", at positions 29 to 507 of the family's 1533-position model. The record is from RNAcentral.
ACGAACGCUGGCGGCGUGCUUAACACAUGCAAGUCGAACGGAAAGGCCCUGCUUGCAGGGUACUCGAGUGGCGAACGGGUGAGUAACACGUGGGUGAUCUGCCCUGCACUUCGGGAUAAGCCUGGGAAACUGGGUCUAAUACCGGAUAGGAGCCAUUUUUAGUGUGAUGGUUGGAAAGUUUUUUCGGUGUAGGAUCAGCUCGCGGCCUAUCAGCUUGUUGGUGGGGUAAUGGCCUACCAAGGCGGCGACGGGUAGCCGGCCUGAGAGGGUGGACGGCCACAUUGGGACUGAGAUACGGCCCAGACUCCUACGGGAGGCAGCAGUGGGGAAUAUUGCACAAUGGGCGCAAGCCUGAUGCAGCGACGCCGCGUGGGGGAUGACGGCCUUCGGGUUGUAAACUCCUUUCGCUAGGGACGAAGCUUUUUGUGACGGUACCUAGAUAAGAAGCACCGGCUAACUACGUG